CCAGACUCCUACGGGAGGCAGCAGUGAGGAAUAUUGGUCAAUGGCCGGAAGGCUGAACCAGCCAAGCCGCGUGAAGGACGAAGGUGCCAAGCAUUGUAAACUUCUUUUGUCAAGGGACAAAAUCAGGCUCGAGAGCCUGACCGAGGGUACUUGAAGAAAAAGCAUCGGCUAACUCCGUGCCAGCAGCCGCGGUAAUACGUAGGGGGCAAGCGUUAUCCGGAUUUACUGGGUGUAAAGGGAGUGUAGGUGGCAUAACAAGUCAGAAGUGAAAGCCCGGGGCUCAACCGCGGGACUGCUUUUGAAACUGUUAAGCUUGAGUGCAGGAGAGGUAAGCGGAAUUCCUAGUGUAGCGGUGAAAUGCGUAGAUAUUAGGAGGAACAUCGGUGGCGAAGGCGGCUUACUGGGCUUUUACUGACGCUGAGGCUCGAAAGCGUGGGGAGCAAACAGGAUUAGAUACCCCCGUA
This 464-nucleotide ribosomal RNA is filed under the name uncultured bacterium. Its description in RNAcentral is "bacterial SSU rRNA". It matches the Rfam family "Bacterial small subunit ribosomal RNA", at positions 331 to 792 of the family's 1533-position model. The record is from RNAcentral.